Molecule: unclassified non-coding RNA, 374 nt
Filed under: soil metagenome
Description: partial contains internal transcribed spacer 2 and large subunit ribosomal RNA
Rfam family: 5.8S ribosomal RNA (bases 1-120)
Source: RNAcentral
GAUGAAGAACGCAUCGAAAUGCGAUAAUUAAUGUGAAUUGCAGAAUUCCGUGAAUCAUCGAGUCUUUGAACGCACAUUGCGCCUCAUGGCAUUCCGUGAGGCAUGCCCAUCUCAGCGUUAGAAAAUAUUCUCAAAUUUUAGUUUUGUGCUAAAAUUUGGAUCAUGUCAAGGAAGCUAUUACUAUUAUUGUGAUCGCUCUUUGGAAAUUGAUAGGUCUUUGAGUUGCUACUCAUAGAACGUGAUGAAUCUUUCUUCGUUCUAUUGUAAUUCACUCUGGUAGUCCUAAAACUUGUAUGCCUGUGGCAUAUCUUGUAAUUUGACCUGAGAUUGGGUAGGGAUACCCGCUGAACUUAAGCAUAUCAAUAAGCGGAGGA